Triticum urartu is the source of this 5868-nucleotide non-coding RNA. Lineage: Eukaryota; Viridiplantae; Streptophyta; Magnoliopsida; Poales; Poaceae. The record is from RefSeq and is a predicted model, not a curated record.
AAUGUAUUUUCUUUUUCUCUCUGUCCAGCCGACAGGUGGGCCCCACCCAGCUGUCUUCCACCUCCAGUUGGUCUCCCGACCGAGAACGCAACCCGCGCGCGUAUCCUGCGCAUGAUCUCACCGAUCCCUCCGAUCCGUCUGCGAUUCGCUCGCAUACGCACAACCCCGCACAGCCGUCGAUCUCCUCUCUCGAUCCCUUGCCUUGCCUCGCACAACCGAGCAGGGAAUCGAGCGCAGCGACCUUGCGGAUCUUCGCCUCGUCGCCGGUACUUCAUCGACGAAAUUCGUCGCCGCCUAUGCUCGGAUUCGAGCUCCCCAGCCAACCCGAUCUCGUCGGAGCUCCCAUCGCCAGCAGCCCCUCCGCCGGCGAAUUUGGCGCCACCAAGGGAGAGAAUCAAACCUAGCACGCCGAGCUUGCCCGGAGCAAAUCACCGCCACCCGUCGCUCCACCCGUACACUGUCAUCGCCUGACGACGCCCCGUCGUCACUGACCUCACAACCUUCUUCUCCGUCACUCUGCGCACCUGCUGGUCCACCCUCCCAGUCGCCUUGGUCCACCGGAGAGGCCACACCGAGAAACGCCAUAGCCACACCGACAUCGGAGCUCCAAACGCCACUGCAGCGCUAGCAGAGGACGCUCACAUCUCCGUCGAAGCUACCAUCGUCUCCGUCAUCGCAAGCUGCAUCCGCCCGUCACCUCAUCUUCGCCGGAGAGCCACCGGAGGAGCGCCGCCACCCACGCCCGAAGCCGUCGCCGUUUUCCCCCUGCUUCGAUUGCUCGGAGCGUGACUAGUAGAAUUAUCAGGAUUGUGAGUGCGACGAUCUUCAUCCAACGUACCAGGCAAGUUACACCUUGAUCAUCCUUCAUCCUAUUAUUUUUCUAUGCAUGUAGUUAUAUAUAUCACAAUACACAUUAUGCAUGUGUAGGAAUAUUAUGGUAGUAUGCUAUUGCGUUUGAGAUGCAGUUAGUAUGGCCUUAUUGUAGACCGCAGUAGUGUAUUCUUGCUACGCUAUGUAGGCGGGGAUUGGUUCGUGUAUUCAUCGAGAUUUUGUGAGGACUAUAUAUAAUAUAACUUGAGUAAAAACAUAAUAUAUAAUUCACCUCUGGACGGACAGGGUUGCAUCAUGGUUUCUUGUUCCUUUUCUAAGGGCAUGGACCAUGGCUAAGUGCACGCGAACAAUAUUGCUGGGUGGUUUCAAGAACAUCAUGGUUUAUACCCUCUGAAUGUAAGUGGGUGCCAUUCAGGCUCAAAAAGAUCAGACAGACUUAGUGACUAUAGUAGCUUCCAUGUACAACCACUGCUAAUAUGCGCUCUGGCUUAGUUGAUCAAUUGUGGAGACCUUACCCGGAUGUGCCAGCAAAUGUAGCUAUGAUAGUUGGGAUGGGCCUCCUGUGGGACUAGGCGACUACUUCUGAAAGACUAUGUCUCAAUCUUCGGGUUGAGUCCAGUGGGUAAAAUGUACAAAUCUCUGCAGAGUGUAUAAACUAAUCAUGAUUAGCCGUGUUCUCGGUUAUGGACAAAUUUGAGCCACUAUGCCAUUACAGUUGUUGGAUCAUCUUGACAGAUGAUACCUUAAUAAAAAUUGAGUGGGAAACUUAAUAAUUGGGAUAGGUUGGAAUUGGAUUGCCCAAUUCAACCAUAUGUAUUCAAUUGUAGCAAGACAUAAAUAAAAUUUGACUAUUAUAUUAUGUAGUUAUCAGGGAAAAACUAGCUUUCUGCAAAACAACCACUACAAUAUCCUCUUGAUACACCUUGCAUAUCUCUACUCCUAAUGUCUCAGUUGGUAGGUCGCGUUCCGGGUUUAAUUUUCGUCCCACCUCACCCGAUCUUUUUUGGUACUUCUUUGGUACUUCCUCUCACCUCACACUGAGCCGCCAUGAACCAAAAAAACCUCGUAUUGAGGCUCCCACCCGCCCCCACGCACCCAUCUACAAAGCAAAGGAAAAAAACCUACGAAAAUUAACCAAUGAAAAAAACCUACGAAAAUUAACCAGCAAAAAAACCUAAACCAAUCGCACGCACGACUCUCCUGCCCUCCACUCGCACGCCCGACUCUCCUGCCCUCCACUCGCACCCGACUCACUGCCCUCGUUCGCGGCCGCCCUCCAUCCCUUCGCCGCCGCCAAGACCCCGCCGGAUCUCACCGCCGCCGAUCUCCUCGAGAAGACCCUGUCGGAUCUCACCGUCGCCGAUCUCCUCGAGAAGACCCUGCCGGAUCUCACCGCCGUCGAUCUCCUCGCGAAGAUCCCGCCGGAUCUCGCUGCCGCCGUAACUCCAUAAAGCCGCCGCCGCCGAUCCCCUCCAGAAAACCCCGCCAAUCCCCUCCGGAAGACCCCGCCGAAUCUUGCGUCGGGGCCAUGGUUCUGGAUCGCCGUCGCAGGGCGGUUUCAACCAGAGCCGGCGGCCUUGAGGAGAGGAGCUCGACGAGCGGGCAGGGUGAUCCCGUGCCUUGGAGACGGCGACCCUCAACCCCUUGCUGCUGUGGUGCACUGGGCACAUCUGUGACGAGGAGGAGGCGAGCCACAAUUCAUCACCUUCCUCGUCUCUCUCAUGGCUGUGCACAAGGAUGUCCGCACCCCGAGCCGAGCUCUGUUUGACCGGAGGACAAGCAGAGGAAAGGCGAACAGGGGUGAUGACAUGGCUCCUGAGCAAGGUGAACAUCGCCUUUAAGGCGAGCGGUGGCGGUAUCUCCCUUACAACCGCACUUCAUUUCUUACAUUGUUUGCUCCUCUUAUCAAGGGCACAUCGGUCAGAUGCAUCCUUGAAAAAAGGGUACAUUGAUCAAGUUGUUUCCUGAUGUUUGCACUCGCUGCUUUAUAGCGUAUUUUUUUCAUAUGAUUUUGGAUAUUUUGUUUCCGUACUGUACCUUAGUUUGGAAUUUAUUUUGUAGGCCCCUUAUCUUGGGCCCCUACAAUAAGUAAACUCAACAUGCGUGAUUCUGAUUAGAGGCAACCGGAUCGUUAUUGAACAUAUUGAUGAUUCCUGUUGUGUAUUCUCAAGGAAUGGUCAGGUUUAGUACUGUAACUAUUUUCUUAUCAAAUAUAUUUGGGUGGUGCUCAAAAUGCAGAGCUGAAAAGCAAGAAACGUAAAGCCACCUCUGAAGAUAAGUUCACCAUGCCUCCCAGAGUGUCACCCCGCUUCGUUGAACUUAAUGGAAUAAGAUCAGAUCAGAAUAACCUUUGUAAACUAGGCAACUGAAUCAUUUCAUUGUUGCUUGUCCAUGUAACGAAGAACUAUCAUUUGGGUACCAAGUUCCACUUCAGGCCAGGAAAAUUUCUUAUAACUUCAAAACGGCAAGGGAUGCACCAUUGUCUUCAGGUCUGCCUUGCAGGUUGGAGUGCAGCUUUCAGAUAUCUUUCUUUCCUUGGGAUAGUUGGAAUGGAAUACUAUGACUAGAUAUACAAUGGUAUUGUUAUCAGUGUUCGGCCUUCAAUGAUUUCGGUGCAGCAUGUCUAGACCAUCAACGGCAAUUUGAGCUCCUUAGUGAAGUAGGUUUGUAAGGCGUUGCUUCAACUCAAGAAAAUCAAUGGCCACAAUUGGGAAGUUGACUGACAAUCCAAAGAGAGUGCCAAUUUUCAAUCUCGUGUUUAGGUGCUUACAUCAAUCUCGUGCAUAGUCUCGAUCACCACCACCGAGGCAGCUACUUCUGCUGGCAGGGGCUGGGCGCCGCCGUGAGGAUGCUAUCACCCAUGCACGCAGUGAUGGCAUGGUGGCCGAAGAAGGCCGUCUUCUGGGGAGUCGCGUGCUGGCCGCCAUCUCCACCCGCGGCCACACCAACAAGACAGGUGAUUUUAGGGUUGGUUCUGUCUGAAACCAAGCUAGCAGGUGAGCCAAAUCAAUCAUUUCACGGUUCUUAAACAGUACAUAACAUAAUGCUAAUUGUGUGUUUUUCAGUAAUAUGCAGAGAAGGUUCGCCUGACAUAAUGACCAACGAGAGCAAGUUGUUUUUUCUUGAUGAAAAUGAUAGCUACCACUUGAUGAGAUUUAGCAAUACAAGCAUUUCCUCUAAUUUUAUUUGUAGCUAAUCCUUUAAGCUCCAAGGAAAUAGCUGAAUGUCACUACCAAAUUAAAUUACCUUUGUACAGAAAAUACGUGGAGUUAUGUGAUCUGCAAGUGAGCAGCUCUCUCACCAACGAGUUAAUAACAUUAAAAUAGGUAGCAGUACCAAUUUUUCCCAGUAAAAGUGAUUUUUUGUUUUCUUCAUUCAAUUAACCAUCGUUUUGAUCGAUGAUGCAUAAUAGAAAUAUGCAUUCCUUUACUGUUUUUUCUCCAUAAGAUCCUUUUAUCACUCAUUAAAAUUUUGCAAGUUCUUGCCAUACCCGAAGCUUCCAUUAUCGCUGACUUCGCCGGAAUGCCUGCACCCAUGUUCCAGGUGCCAAUAAUGAAUCCUGUGUUUAGGUGCUUCUACAUGAAUCCCAUGCAUAGUCUCGAUCACCACCACUGGGGCAGCUACUUCUGCUGGCAGUAGCACUUUCCUCUGACAUGUGUUUUUUUGUCGUUGUGUGCUUCUACAUUAAUCCUGGGUCGUUGUAUUUAGGUUCUCUAAGGCCUAAACUGUGACUUUUCUUAAUUGUAUGUGUUACAACUCGUUUUACUAUACUAAUUUAUUCAGUUGCACCAAUACAAGGUGUGGAGAGUUUGGGUUCGGAAGGUAGUUAGCCUACAAGAGAAGGGGGUUUAGUAUUUUCUUGAUGGCACAUGUUGGAAGGUGCCAUCUUUAUUUCUCUUAUCUUAUGGGUUUCCUCACAAUUGUUUUCUUACAAUGUGCACAAUUUUGCAACAAUAAACAUUGGCUGGGUAUAUACACUUGAAUAGAUGAUCUGGUUACAUAGCAUGCACCCCGGGGAGUUUCAGGAAUUAUGAUGUGUUGGUUUUAUUUGGUUGAAACCAUUAAUGGUUGUCUGAGUUACUUGACUAGGACUGUUUGGGCAUGAAGUGUGUGCUCUAUAACUCCUUCCUAUUGGAUAUUUUUGCUCUCCUUAUUGCACAUGUUCCUGAGAAAAGUGAAGUACUUAUGUCGAUAAGAUGUUGAUUCCCAAAACUCUUAACAUCUUAUAGUGUAUCGGUAGUGUUAAAACAAAAAUAGCGAUUACUUUUCUCGUGUUAUCGUCUAUUGUGUUUCUUCUGUCCUUGAUUCCAAAGGAACUGUAGUAAUUACUUUGCCUAAAGUUUGUGUUAUUUCCAUUUACGAUGUGUUCAACUCAAUUGUGUUACUAAAAUACUUUUAUCGGCGGAUAUUUAUCAAGAAGUAACAUGUCACCACUUUGAAUACAACCUUAGUUUUACAUGCAUUAGUUUUCUAAUUAAAUGUUGUCGUUGUAAGCAUCAAAACUAUCUUCUAGAUUCACAACUUAUGCUUAUGCCCCCGUUUAAAAAAACUAGCUUCUACAGUCACAGCCUUGCUGGGAGCCAGGGUGAGAAACUAAAUGUCAACAUGGUUGUGCAGGUCUGCAGGAGGUGCCUUUGAGAACUUGAUCAGCUACUCGAGCUUCAUUGUCAGCGAAGUCUCCACUGGGUUGCCCAGAUCUGUCCUGAAUUGCUUCAUUGAUGACAAUUUGGAGAAGGCUCCGCUGACACUUACAAAGGAUGUUUUCCUUUGUUGGAAAGACGAGGAUACGCUGGAGAUAGACAUGGGGUGGUAAGAAAAUGAUGAGUUCCUGAUGAUAUUAUGCUUGCUGGUCUAAACCUACAUGUAUUAUGUCAGUUUGUUGUUAAGAGUAUCUUGAAAAUAUAAAGCCACUGGGUGGCCAGGCAUUCUAUACUAUCGUCUUUCCAAGAGCCCACAUUUCUGCAUGUAUAUAUUUGUUGUACAGCCUAUGCUGGUUUGCCUACAAUAAUUAUCAGAAGGUAAUAUGCAGCAGCCAAA